AGAGUUUGAUCCUGGCUCAGAACGAACGCUGGCGGCGUGCUUAACACAUGCAAGUCUAACGAGAAAGUUUCCUUCGGGGAACGAGUAAAGUGGCGCACGGGUGAGUAACACGUGGGUAACCUACCCUUCAGUCUGGGAUAACACUUCGAAAGGGGUGCUAAUACCGGAUACGUUCAAUUAGGCUUUGGCUUUUUUGAAGAAAGAUGGCCACUAUACUAUGCUGUCACUGAUUGAUGGGCCCGCGGACCAUUAGCUUGUUGGUAAGGUAACGGCUUACCAAGGCUGCGAUGGUUAGCUGGUCUGAGAGGAUGAUCAGCCACACUGGUACUGGAACACGGACCAGACUCCUACGGGAGGCAGCAGUGGGGAAUAUUGCGCAAUGGGGGAAACCCUGACGCAGCAACGCCGCGUGAGUGAUGAAGGCCCUUGGGUCGUAAAGCUCUGUCAGAGGGGAAGAAGGUGCUAGGGUUAAUACCCUUGGUUACUUGACGGUACCCUCAAAGGAAGCACCGGCUAACUCCGUGCCAGCAGCCGCGGUAAUACGGAGGGUGCAAGCGUUGUUCGGAAUUACUGGGCGUAAAGGGCGCGUAGGCGGCCGUUUAAGUCAGAUGUGAAAGCCCACGGCUCAA
RNAcentral lists this ribosomal RNA (629 nucleotides) under uncultured bacterium. Its description in RNAcentral is "bacterial SSU rRNA". It matches the Rfam family "Bacterial small subunit ribosomal RNA", at positions 8 to 612 of the family's 1533-position model. The record is from RNAcentral.